RNAcentral lists this ribosomal RNA (495 nucleotides) under uncultured bacterium. RNAcentral's name for it is "partial 16S ribosomal RNA". It matches the Rfam family "Bacterial small subunit ribosomal RNA", at positions 28 to 507 of the family's 1533-position model. The record is from RNAcentral.
GACGAACGCUGGCGGCGUGCCUAGUACAUGCAAGUAGAACGCUGAAGGAGGAGCUUGCUUCUCUGGAUGAGUUGCGAACGGGUGAGUAACGCGUAGGUAACCUGCCUGGUAGCGGGGGAUAACUAUUGGAAACGAUAGCUAAUACCGCAUAAUAGUAGAUGUUGCAUGACAUUUGCUUAAAAGGUGCAAUUGCAUCACUACCAGAUGGACCUGCGUUGUAUUAGCUAGUUGGUGGGGUAACGGCUCACCAAGGCGACGAUACAUAGCCGACCUGAGAGGGUGAUCGGCCACACUGGGACUGAGACACGGCCCAGACUCCUACGGGAGGCAGCAGUAGGGAAUCUUCGGCAAUGGACGGAAGUCUGACCGAGCAACGCCGCGUGAGUGAAGAAGGUUGUCGGAUCGUAAAGCUCUGUUGUAAGAGAAGAACGAGUGUGAGAGUGGAAAGUUCACACUGUGACGGUAUCUUACCAGAAAGGGACGGCUAACUACGUG